This 381-nucleotide ribosomal RNA is filed under the name Lomentospora prolificans. Its description in RNAcentral is "partial small subunit ribosomal RNA". The stretch from base 1 to 302 matches the Rfam family "Eukaryotic small subunit ribosomal RNA", at positions 1532 to 1831 of the family's 1831-position model. The record is from RNAcentral. Lineage: Eukaryota; Fungi; Ascomycota; Sordariomycetes; Microascales; Microascaceae.
ACCGGAAGGUCCGGGUAAUCUUGUUAAACUCUGUCGUGCUGGGGAUAGAGCAUUGCAAUUAUUGCUCUUCAACGAGGAAUCCCUAGUAAGCGCAAGUCAUCAGCUUGCGUUGAUUACGUCCCUGCCCUUUGUACACACCGCCCGUCGCUACUACCGAUGGAAUGGCUCAGUGAGACCUCCGGACUGGCCCAGAGAGGUGGGCAACUACCACUCAGGGCCGGAAAGUUGUUCAAACUCGGUCAUUUAGAGGAAGUAAAAGUCGUAACAAGGUCUCCGUUGGUGAACCAGCGGAGGGAUCAUUACCGAGUUAUUACUCCAAACCCUUUGUGAACCUUACCUAUGUUCUGUUGCCGCGGCGGGUAGGGAGAACCCUUAAAAAAG